AUUGAACGCUGGCGGCAUGCCUUACACAUGCAAGUCGAACGGUAACGGGCCUUCGGGUGCCGACGAGUGGCGAGCGGGUGAGUAAUACAUCGGAACGUGCCCGAUCGUGGGGGAUAACGAGGCGAAAGCUUUGCUAAUACCGCAUACGAUCUACGGAUGAAAGCAGGGGACCGCAAGGCCUUGCGCGGACGGAGCGGCCGAUGGCAGAUUAGGUAGUUGGUGGGAUAAAAGCUUACCAAGCCGACGAUCUGUAGCUGGUCUGAGAGGAUGAUCAGCCACACUGUGACUGAGACACGGCCCAGACUCCUACGGGAGGGAGCAGUGGGGAAUUUUGGACAAUGGGCGCAAGCCUGAUCCAGCCAUGCCGCGUGCAGGAUGAAGGCCUUCGGGUUGUAAACUGCUUUUGUACGGAACGAAAAGCCUUCUUUUAAUACAGGAGGGUCAUGACGGUACCGUAAGAAUAAGCACCGGCUAACUACGUG
RNAcentral lists this ribosomal RNA (482 nucleotides) under uncultured bacterium. RNAcentral describes it as "partial 16S ribosomal RNA". It matches the Rfam family "Bacterial small subunit ribosomal RNA", at positions 30 to 507 of the family's 1533-position model. The record is from RNAcentral.